Long non-coding RNA from Xenia sp. Carnegie-2017, 817 nucleotides. RefSeq lists it as uncharacterized. The record is from RefSeq and is a predicted model, not a curated record. Lineage: Eukaryota; Metazoa; Cnidaria; Anthozoa; Malacalcyonacea; Xeniidae. The transcript has 2 exons.
CACGGAUGCUUUCGUUCAUGAUGAAAGAGUCAUAUUGUAUAAGGAGGCUCGCGUUCAUCACGAGAGAGCUAUGAGAAAGUUACAUUGUAAAAGGUCUCAACUCAACACAACCCUUGUUUGAAGUUCCUAAAACCUUGAUCUACCCAAGAAAGAUCUCUGGUGGUUACAUGUUAGGUAUGGCUAGUGGUUGGUUAUCGUCAUUUGAGCCUUGUGACACUAGUUCAGUUGACGUUAAUCGUCGUGAAGACGUUGAGGAGGUUGCUAGUAAACGUCGCCUAAACACAUUGUUCAAAAAGCAAUUAUUGUUUAUCAAUCUGAACAUUCAAAUGAAGAACAUCAAUUGGAGCAUGAAUGCAAUUUGCCUUCUAUUCAACCAUACGUUAAGAAAAAAGGUCAAGCACUUUACAUGCUUAAAGAGAGAGACGACGAAAGCAAAUUGAUGCCACAUCUUGAAAAAAUUCCUCAAUUAUUAAAGACCAACAAGACAAAAAUCAACAUGAAUACUUUACAAGUUUUCCAAUAUUUUUUCGAAAGAUUAAGACAUUUUGGAAAAUACGAUCUUGCUUUUGAACUGUUGGAUAAAUUUAAAUCCGAAGAAUCUAGUUAUGACAAAUCUUGGUAUUUUAAUAUUCUCGGUCUUUUAUACUAUGACACCGGGAAAUAUAGCAAAGCUAAAAAUCAUCAUGAAAAAGCUCUGAAAAUUCAAAAACAAUCUUUAGAUCCAAAUCAUGUUGUUAUUGCUGGGUCUUUAAAAAAUCUUGGUUUGGUGUUUUAUGGAACUGGAAAAUACAACAAAGCUCUAGAGGUUCACGAAAAA